GGAGAUAUAGCUCAGUUGAUAGAGUGCUUGCCUUGCAUGCAAAAGGCCCUGGGUUCAAUCCCCAGAACUGCCC
This 73-nucleotide transfer RNA is filed under the name Ictidomys tridecemlineatus (thirteen-lined ground squirrel). RNAcentral describes it as "Spermophilus tridecemlineatus (thirteen-lined ground squirrel) tRNA". It matches the Rfam family "tRNA". From Rfam's summary of the family: Transfer RNA (tRNA) molecules are approximately 80 nucleotides in length. The record is from Rfam by way of RNAcentral. Lineage: Eukaryota; Metazoa; Chordata; Mammalia; Rodentia; Sciuridae.